GCGCCUGUAGCUCAGGUGGAUAGAGCAGCGGUUUCCUAAACCGCGGGCCGCGGGUUCGAGUCCUGCCAGGCGCACCA
RNAcentral lists this transfer RNA (77 nucleotides) under Candidatus Aerophobota bacterium. RNAcentral describes it as "tRNA-Arg". It matches the Rfam family "tRNA". Rfam says of the family: Transfer RNA (tRNA) molecules are approximately 80 nucleotides in length. The record is from RNAcentral. RNAcentral also lists the same sequence under 1 other name. Lineage: Bacteria; Candidatus Aerophobota.